AGCACUGGAUAUAAAGACAAUUAGGAACUCUCCUGUAUUAUGUAUGAACCACCACUUGCUGAAUGAACCAUUUACUAAGGGCACAAAAGGCAGGGAUGAAGUCAUUUAAAGAAGCAGGAAUGUGUGACUGCAGCAAAUACAGCAACGGCAAGAUAAUGUGUCUGAUGAGAUAAAUACCACAAAACAACGUACUGCAAAGAUCAUGUUUCACAAAAAGAUCAAUAUUUGCAAGUCGGGAGAAGAAAAAUCAUGAGGAGUAUUAAUGG
Molecule: long non-coding RNA, 266 nt
Organism: Nothoprocta perdicaria
Lineage: Eukaryota; Metazoa; Chordata; Aves; Tinamiformes; Tinamidae
Exons: 2
Source: RefSeq, a predicted model, not a curated record